AAAGUCGUAACAAGGUUUCCGUAGGUGAACCUGCGGAAGGAUCAUUAUUCUUCUCUAUCGGGAGGUCGUAGUUGGAGAACAGGAAACUCUCUCCUUCUCGCCCUAUCUGAUUUUACCCAUGAUUUUUGUGUACCUUAUGUUUCCUUGACAGGUUCGCCUGUCAGAGGACCCUUUAAACCCAUUGCAAUUGCAGUCAGCGUCAGAUAAACUUAAUAGUUACAACUUUCAACAACGGAUCUCUUGGUUCUG
RNAcentral lists this unclassified non-coding RNA (249 nucleotides) under Ascomycota sp. RNAcentral's name for it is "partial contains small subunit ribosomal RNA, internal transcribed spacer 1, and 5.8S ribosomal RNA". The stretch from base 1 to 47 matches the Rfam family "Eukaryotic small subunit ribosomal RNA", at positions 1785 to 1831 of the family's 1831-position model. The record is from RNAcentral. Lineage: Eukaryota; Fungi; Ascomycota.